RNAcentral lists this ribosomal RNA (700 nucleotides) under uncultured bacterium. RNAcentral describes it as "bacterial SSU rRNA". It matches the Rfam family "Bacterial small subunit ribosomal RNA", at positions 94 to 828 of the family's 1533-position model. The record is from RNAcentral.
AGUGGCGGACGGGUGAGUAACGCGUAAGAAUCUAACUUCAGGACGGGGACAACAGUUGGAAACGACUGCUAAUACCCGAUGUGCCGCAAGGUGAAACCUGAUUGGCCUGGAGAAGAGCUUGCGUCUGAUUAGCUAGUUGGUGGGGUAAAGGCCUACCAAGGCGACGAUCAGUAGCUGGUCUGAGAGGAUGAGCAGCCACACUGGGACUGAGACACGGCCCAGACUCCUACGGGAGGCAGCAGUGGGGAAUUUUCCGCAAUGGGCGAAAGCCUGACGGAGCAACGCCGCGUGAGGGAGGAAGGUCUUUGGAUUGUAAACCUCUUUUCUCAAGGAAGAAGUUCUGACGGUACUUGAGGAAUCAGCCUCGGCUAACUCCGUGCCAGCAGCCGCGGUAAUACGGGGGAGGCAAGCGUUAUCCGGAAUUAUUGGGCGUAAAGCGUCCGCAGGUGGUCAGCCAAGUCUGCCGUCAAAUCAGGUUGCUUAACGACCUAAAGGCGGUGGAAACUGGCAGACUAGAGAGCAGUAGGGGUAGCAGGAAUUCCCAGUGUAGCGGUGAAAUGCGUAGAGAUUGGGAAGAACAUCGGUGGCGAAAGCGUGCUACUGGGCUGUAUCUGACACUCAGGGACGAAAGCUAGGGGAGCGAAAGGGAUUAGAUACCCCUGUAGUCCUAGCCGUAAACGAUGGAUACUAGGCGUGGCUU